Molecule: ribosomal RNA, 253 nt
Filed under: uncultured bacterium
Lineage: Bacteria
Description: partial 16S ribosomal RNA
Rfam family: Bacterial small subunit ribosomal RNA
Source: RNAcentral
UACGUAGGGUGCGAGCGUUGUCCGGAAUUAUUGGGCGUAAAGGGCUCGUAGGCGGUUUGUCGCGUCGGGAGUGAAAACUCAGGGCUUAACCCUGAGCCUGCUUUCGAUACGGGCAGACUAGAGGUAUGCAGGGGAGAACGGAAUUCCUGGUGUAGCGGUGAAAUGCGCAGAUAUCAGGAGGAACACCGGUGGCGAAGGCGGUUCUCUGGGCAUGACCUGACGCUGAGAAGCGAAAGUGUGGGGAGCGAACAGG